This 492-nucleotide ribosomal RNA is filed under the name uncultured bacterium. RNAcentral's name for it is "partial 16S ribosomal RNA". It matches the Rfam family "Bacterial small subunit ribosomal RNA", at positions 29 to 507 of the family's 1533-position model. The record is from RNAcentral.
AGUGAACGCUGGCGGUAGGCCUAACACAUGCAAGUCGAACGGCAGCACAGUAAGAGCUUGCUCUUACGGGUGGCGAGUGGCGGACGGGUGAGGAAUACAUCGGAAUCUACUUUUUCGUGGGGGAUAACGUAGGGAAACUUACGCUAAUACCGCAUAUGACCUACGGGUGAAAGCAGGGGAUCUUCGGACCUUGCGCGAUUGAAUGAGCCGAUGUCGGAUUAGCUAGUUGGCGAGGUAAAGGCCCACCAAGGCGACGAUCCGUAGCUGGUCUGAGAGGAUGAUCAGCCACACUGGAACUGAGACACGGUCCAGACUCCUACGGGAGGCAGCAGUAGGGAAUAUUGGGCAAUGGGCGCAAGCCUGAUCCAGCCAUGCCGCGUGGGUGAAGAAGGCCUUCGGGUUGUAAAGCCCUUUUGUUGGGAAAGAAAAGCAGCAGGUUAAUACCCCGCUGUUCUGACGGUACCCAAAGAAUAAGCACCGGCUAACUUCGUG